UCGCACGAAAGGUGGUCUCUUUCUUCCGCUCCGGCCGGCAGCUCCCUCGACUCUUCCAACGUGGUCACCCUCGGGCCAAAUUUGAACCACAACACUGACCAAAAGAUAAAUGGCUGCAGGAAUCAAAAUUUAUGUUACUAGAUCAAUUGAGAAAUAAAAAUUCCUAAAACAGAGACAUUAUAAAUUAUUUUUUAAAAUAGAGAAUUUUUUUUCAUACAUCAGCGACUCACACUAAUUUCACAUUAGCACAGACAGUUGAAUCACUAAAACGUAGACUAAAUAAUAGCGAAGAAAUAGAAAUAUGCCCAAUCCAAAAUGAUCUUUCCAGAAUAAUGGGCAGCAAAAGAGGCGACUUAAUCAGCACUUUUUGUUCGUCUCACAAAACACGUGCACGACCUGAAAGGCACAACAUUUUUUCUGCAGCCGCCAGAUGUCGCGCAGAAGCAAAUGCUUAGCCAUCCGCCCAGUUGAGUCUCCCUUGAGAAUGAUACACUUCACCUUAAGCAAUUGUCUCGCGUAGAAGAAUCUCUUUCAUGCUGCUCUUAGUUCCGCCCCUAAAAAUGACCGCCCAAAGGAACAACGCCUUCUGCAGCGACCUAACUUAGAAUCCUGAUUCUGUUUUCUCCAUUUCUCUCCGAGUAGAUCAUGACCAGUACUUAUCCUGUUGGCGCAUCCAAACAAGCCCCUGAAGCUCAAUAAGCUCAGCGUCCGAACCAGUCACUGAUCAAAAGAACAAGAUAAAAACAAGAGAGAAGAAGACGCAACAGAAAUAUGGGGUAAUUUAAAAUUCAAGAAAAACAGCGAGCNNN
Molecule: long non-coding RNA, 809 nt
Filed under: Phoenix dactylifera (date palm)
Lineage: Eukaryota; Viridiplantae; Streptophyta; Magnoliopsida; Arecales; Arecaceae
Description: long non-coding RNA (PDAC_LNC005245)
Source: RNAcentral